UACGUAGGGUGCGAGCGUUGUCCGGAAUUAUUGGGCGUAAAGAGCUCGUAGGCGGUCUGUCGCGUCUGCUGUGAAAACUCGGGGCUUAACCCCGGGCCUGCAGUGGGUACGGGCAGACUAGAGUGCGGUAGGGGAGACUGGAAUUCCUGGUGUAGCGGUGAAAUGCGCAGAUAUCAGGAGGAACACCGAUGGCGAAGGCAGGUCUCUGGGCAACAACUGACGCUGAGGAGCGAAAGCGUGGGGAGCGAACAGG
RNAcentral lists this ribosomal RNA (253 nucleotides) under uncultured bacterium. RNAcentral's name for it is "partial 16S ribosomal RNA". It matches the Rfam family "Bacterial small subunit ribosomal RNA", at positions 524 to 776 of the family's 1533-position model. The record is from RNAcentral.